AGAACUUAGGUUAAAUAUAAACCANGGGCCUUCAAAGCCCUAAAUAAGAGAGAAGACUCCUAGUUUCUG
RNAcentral lists this transfer RNA (69 nucleotides) under Hoplodactylus sp. Southern Alps. RNAcentral's name for it is "tRNA-Trp". The record is from RNAcentral. Lineage: Eukaryota; Metazoa; Chordata; Lepidosauria; Squamata; Diplodactylidae.